UUACGGAAAACGGGUACUAACACAGGUCCUUCCUAAAAGCGAAGUGGCAUAGCGGGAACUUUCGAAAAGCGGAGGAUACCUGUAAUUGCUCUCCUUUUUGGCUGCCUAAUAUUCACCACCCCCCAGCACACACACACACACACACGCGUGCGCGCACACACACACAUUUGUGUGUGUGACAACAGUUCCUAAUGUCCUUAUGAGGAAUUACCUAUCUCCAAUAGCAAGUGGUUUUAUUGGAACUGUCAAUGCAGUUGCCAGGGAGUGAGCCCAUAACGCCAAGGUAGGCCAGCUGAACUCAGGGCUUUGAACUUGAUCAGAAAUGGAACAAAAUAUAAAACACCAGAAAAAGGCAUACCCACAUUCCUUCUAUCAUCAUCUCCUAGUGAGGCCAUUGAAACAUUCCUGCUUCCAGACCCCUGGUGCCCUGAAUAUCUGUCCUUUGAUGAGCCUGUUCUCCAGUCCUUCCCAUCGAUUCUGUCCCCAGAGUUGUAGCCAUGAACAAAUAACACAGUUCUGGGGCGGGGCACGCAGCCCACUUUACAGCAGGAGAGACAGAGUCCCCGCUCCCAGCAGGGCCAGGUCCUGAAUGAAGUCACCGGGCCACUUCGAAGAGGCCUUUGCAAGACUUUCAAAAUUGAGCUGUUCCCAGCACACAGACCAGGGCUGAAAAUGCAAAAUUUGCUGGAUGAAUCCAAGCCUCUCCAAGCAGACUCCCAGCCAAGAGUCGAGAGGUUCACUUCUUCCUGCACCUCGGUGACAGGCAAAUGCAGGCCACCCCUUGGGAAGGAACCUGGGCAUGAUAUCAAGGUGGAGAAGUGUUGUUAUCCUAAUGAUGUUGAGGACAAACCCAUAUGUCAGCACCGCAGGAACAGCCGGGGUCCCAGGAACUGAGCAGUCCUGGCCCCACAGGAGUGGAAUUUGCUACCAAAGCCCUGACUGUAAAAGCUGCAUCAAGCAAGGCAAGAGCAGAACCAGAGCUAUACAGGGAUGUGAGCCCUGAGGUUGGCGGAGCCAGUGCUGACCCCUCGUGAGGGCUGUGGGCUGGGUUGCAUUAUCUUUGGAGGGCAGGAGAGGUUUUUCCUUUGCUUUUGGGUCCCCCUAGUGGAACACUGGCUGGGUCUCCUUAAAGGAGGUGUGU
Long non-coding RNA from Panthera uncia (snow leopard), 1141 nucleotides. RefSeq lists it as uncharacterized. The transcript has 5 exons. The record is from RefSeq and is a predicted model, not a curated record. Lineage: Eukaryota; Metazoa; Chordata; Mammalia; Carnivora; Felidae.